UUCCUACGGGGGGCAGCAGUAGGGAAUCUUCCACAAUGGGCGAAAGCCUGAUGGAGCAACGCCGCGUGGGUGAAGAAGGUCUUCGGAUCGUAAAACCCUGUUGUUAGAGAAGAAAGUGCGUGAGAGUAACUGUUCACGUCUCGACGGUAUCUAACCAGAAAGUCACAGCUAACUACGUGCCAGCAGCCGCGGUAACACGUAGGUGGCAAGCGUUAUCCGGAUUCAUUGGGCGUAAAGGGAACGCAGGCGGACUUUU
Molecule: ribosomal RNA, 256 nt
Filed under: uncultured bacterium
Lineage: Bacteria
Description: partial 16S ribosomal RNA
Rfam family: Bacterial small subunit ribosomal RNA
Source: RNAcentral